CAGGAAGUUUUGAAUUCUGGCUCAGGACGAACGCUGGCGGCGUGCCUAAUACAUGCAAGUCGAACGCUUCUUUUUCCACCGGAGCUUGCUCCACCGGAAAAAGAAGAGUGGCGAACGGGUGAGUAACACGUGGGUAACCUGCCCAUCAGAAGGGGAUAACACUUGGAAACAGGUGCUAAUACCGUAUAACAAUCAAAACCGCAUGGUUUUGAUUUGAAAGGCGCUUUCGGGUGUCGCUGAUGGAUGGACCCGCGGUGCAUUAGCUAGUUGGUGAGGUAACGGCUCACCAAGGCCACGAUGCAUAGCCGACCUGAGAGGGUGAUCGGCCACAUUGGGACUGAGACACGGCCCAAACUCCUACGGGAGGCAGCAGUAGGGAAUCUUCGGCAAUGGACGAAAGUCUGACCGAGCAACGCCGCGUGAGUGAAGAAGGUUUUCGGAUCGUAAAACUCUGUUGUUAGAGAAGAACAAGGAUGAGAGUAACUGUUCAUCCCUUGACGGUAUCUAACCAGAAAGCCACGGCUAACUACGUGCCAGCAGCCGCGGUAAUACGUAGGUGGCAAGCGUUGUCCGGAUUUAUUGGGCGUAAAGCGAGCGCAGGCGGUUUCUUAAGUCUGAUGUGAAAGCCCCCGGCUCAACCGGGGAGGGUCAUUGGAAACUGGGAGACUUGAGUGCAGAAGAGGAGAGUGGAAUUCCAUGUGUAGCGGUGAAAUGCGUAGAUAUAUGGAGGAACACCAGUGGCGAAGGCGGCUCUCUGGUCUGUAACUGACGCUGAGGCUCGAAAGCGUGGGGAGCAAACAGGAUUAGAUACCCUGGUAGUCCACGCCGUAAACGAUGAGUGCUAAGUGUUGGAGGGUUUCCGCCCUUCAGUGCUGCAGCUAACCGCAUUAAGCCCCCCCCGGCCCCG
RNAcentral lists this ribosomal RNA (907 nucleotides) under Enterococcus faecium. RNAcentral's name for it is "bacterial SSU rRNA". It matches the Rfam family "Bacterial small subunit ribosomal RNA", at positions 9 to 873 of the family's 1533-position model. The record is from RNAcentral. Lineage: Bacteria; Bacillati; Bacillota; Bacilli; Lactobacillales; Enterococcaceae.